RNAcentral lists this ribosomal RNA (1201 nucleotides) under metagenome. RNAcentral's name for it is "SSU rRNA". It matches the Rfam family "Eukaryotic small subunit ribosomal RNA", at positions 558 to 1790 of the family's 1831-position model. The record is from RNAcentral.
AGUCUGGUGCCAGCAGCCGCGGUAAUUCCAGCUCCAAUAGCGUAUAUUAAAGUUGUUGCAGUUAAAAAGCUCGUAGUUGAAAUUUUGAUUGUAGCGGUCAGUCUCACAACAGUGAGUGCUAGAUGUGCUGUGGUCAUGUUUCGUUGGAACGUGUGUGGCAUUGAGUUGUCGUGCAUGGGAAGACGAUCGUUUACUGUGAAAAAAUUAGAGUGUUCAAAGCAGGCUUAUGCCGUUGAAUAUAUUAGCAUGGAAUAAUAAGAUAGGACCAGGGUACUAUUUUGUUGGCUUGUGCACCUUGGUAAUGAUUAAUAGGGACAGUUGGGGAUUCGUAUUGCGGUGUCAGAGGUGAAAUUCUUGGAUUUCCGCAAGACGAGCUACUGCGAAAGCAUUUAUCAAGGAUGUUUUCAUUAAUCAAGAACGAAAGUUAGGGGAUCGAAGAUGAUUAGAUACCAUCGUAGUCUUAACCAUAAACUAUGCCGACAAGGGAUUGGCAGGGUGUGUUUAUGCCUCUGUCAGCACCUUAGGAGAAAUCAUAAGUUUUUGGGUUCCGGGGGGAGUAUGGUCGCAAGGCUCAAACUUAAAGACAUUGACGGAAGGGCACCACCAGGAGUGGAGCCUGCGGCUUAAUUUGACCCAACACGGGAAAACUUACCAGGUCCAGACAUAGUGAGGAUUGACAGAUUGAGAGCUCUUUCUUGAUUCUAUGGGUGGUGGUGCAUGGCCGUUCUUAGUUGGUGGAGUGAUUUGUCUGGUUAAUUCCGUUAACGAACGAGACCCCCGCCUGCUAAAUAGAUGGUCUAGUGAUUUUUCACUGGAAACAUCUUCUUAGAGGGACGUGCGUUCUAUUAGACGCAGGAAGAUGGGGGCAAUAACAGGUCUGUGAUGCCCUUAGAUGUCCUGGGCCGCACGCGCGCUACACUGAUGCAUUCAACGAGUUGCCUUCACCGAGAGGUGUGGGAAAUCUUGGAAUGUGCAUCGUGAUAGGGAUAGAUUCUUGUAAUUUUUAAUCUUGAACGAGGAAUUCCUAGUAAACGCAGAUCAUCAAUCUGCAUUGAUUACGUCCCUGCCCUUUGUACACACCGCCCGUCGCACCUACCGAUUGAAUGGUCCGGUGAAGCCUCGGGAUUGUGAUGACUUUUCUUCAUUGAGAGGUCGUUGCGAGAACUUGUCUAAACCUUAUCAUUUAGAGGAAGGUGAAGUC